This 330-nucleotide ribosomal RNA is filed under the name Triticum aestivum (bread wheat). RNAcentral's name for it is "partial small subunit ribosomal RNA". Lineage: Eukaryota; Viridiplantae; Streptophyta; Magnoliopsida; Poales; Poaceae. The record is from RNAcentral.
AUGGAGUGGCGACGGGCAGGGGCGCCCCCGGCAGAGCUGCGGUGGGCGACGGCCACGGCGCAGCCGGACGGCGAGAGGGCCGGGACGGCGCCAGGCACGGAGCCAGCCCAGGCCGGAGGCGGCCAGCGCGGGAGAAGCUCGCUGCGGGGGAGGGCCGGGGCGGCCUGGCACGGGGGCGCGCGGAUGCAUUGGUGCCCGUGGCCAGCAGCUGCUCAGGAGGAGCACGGAGGCGGGGGAGCUAAGUGCGCGGCGCCGGCGCUGCUCGUUUUGCCACGGCCGCGGGGCUACGCGCGGACGCAGCAUCCGCGAGCAUGCGUGAGAAGGAGGUAG